GUAUGGGGGAAAUCAGUGGGAUUUGGGGGAGAAUUUGUGGGGGGGUAAGGGAAAUUUGGGGGAUUUUGGGGUCUUUUGGGGAUCCCACACUAUGGGGGUGUCUGUGGCGUGGGGGAUCCCAAAAAUUUGGGUAAAAAACCCCCAAAUUUGGGCAAAAAUGGUGAAUUUUGGGGGUCAGAAUGGAGGGAUUUGGGGAGUGAGGGGUGGGGGAAAAGCAAUGGGAUUUUGGGGUGAAUUUGGGGGAUUUGGGGUGAAAUUUGGGGGAUUUUGGGGUCUUUUGGGAUCCCACACUAUGGGGAAUGGGUCUGAAAUGGGGGGAUCCCCAAACUUUGGGUGAAAAACCCCCAAAUUUGGGCAAAACUGGUGAAUUUUGGGGGUCAGAAUGGAGGGAUUUGGGGAGUGAGGAAUAGGGGAAAAGCAAUGGGAUUUUGGGGUGAAUUUUGGGAUUUUGGGUGAAAUUUGGGGGAUUUGGGGUCUUUGGGGAUCCCACACUAUGGGGGAGGGGUGUGAAAUGGGGGGGAUCCCAAAAUUUGGGUAAAAAACCCCCAAAUUUGGGCAAAAAUGGUGAAUUUUGGGGGUCAGAAUGGAGGGAUUUGGGGAGUGAGGGAUGGGGAAAAAGCAAUGGGAUUUUGGGGUGAAUUUUUGGGAUUUUAGGACAUUUGAGGCUUUUGGGGGCCAUUUGGGGUUUUUUGGGGGAUCCCCAAUUUUAGGGGAAACCCUUGGGGUGGGGAAAACCCCAAAAAUGGGUUUUUUUGACCCCAAAUUUUUCUCCAUUUUAGGGAAACCCUGGAGGACGACGCAGGGAAGGCGGUGGGCGACGCGGCCCCAAAGGACGCCUCGCCCAGCGCGCCGGGAAAGAGGUGAGAAAUGGGGGAUUUGUGGGGUCUGGGGGGGGAUUUAUGGGAUUUGGGGGGGGGGUUUGUGGGAUUUAUGGGGUUAUAGGGCCAGCCCCCCUUAUAGAGCCAGUCCCCCCUUAUAGGGUCACCCCCCCUUAUAGGGCCAGCACCCGUUUAUGGGGCCAGCACCCGCUUAUAGGGCCAGCUCCAUCUUAUAGGGUCACCCCCACUUAUAGGGCCAGCUCCAUCUUAUAGGGUCACCCCCCCUUAUAGGGCCAGCACCCCCUUAUAGGGCCAGCUCCCUCUUAUAGGGCC
This 1151-nucleotide long non-coding RNA is filed under the name Phasianus colchicus (ring-necked pheasant). RNAcentral's name for it is "lncRNA (ENSPCLG00000017198.1)". The record is from RNAcentral. Lineage: Eukaryota; Metazoa; Chordata; Aves; Galliformes; Phasianidae.